CUGAAGUGAGCGUCUGUCUCUCUGUGGUCUCUCAGAGUCUGGACCUGCUGCUGUCUCAGGUGUGUGACAUCAUGCUGAAGCACCGCGAGGAGUGUGUGUUAGAGGCUUGUGUGCGUGUGUUGUGUGCCUUGUGCAGUGAUUGCUACAGCUUCUGUGGUCGAGCCGAGAGAGCCGUCAGUCAGCUGCUGGAUUCAACCGUGGAGAAAUUCAGCUCAAACCUGGCUGAGAUACUGCAGGGAUCGGCUGAUGAAGAUGAUUUGUAUGGAGCUGCUUCCUCUCUGAACAUUCUAGCCAUCUUCAGCAGGUGUGUGUGUGUGUGUGUUUUGUGUGAUUAUGGUAGAUAGUACUGAAGGGUCUCUACAGUGUGUUUUUGUGUGUCAGUGCCAGAGAUUUGACCGGAAGGAACCUGUUUGAGUUCUGCUUUCAGCUGCUGAAGAUGGGAAUAGAGACGAGAGAAAUCAACGAGAAGCUGAUGGUUCCAGCUCUUAAGUGUUCAGUCUUUCAUCUGUUCUGGAAAGGAACGAAGAUCAAGCAACACUCUCCAGCAAGAGACAAGGCGGAGCUGAAGCGUGUGAUGAAGGCUCUUCACUCGUUCUGUGUGGUGUGUCAGAGCUGUCUGUCCGUGGCUCAGAGUCGCAUCAGGAACCAGGUACAGCCCUCAGUCCUCUGCCGCUCACAUCACACCACAUUUGCUCUAGUCUCACCGCAGCGCUGUGCAAACUACACAACAGCAGGGACUUUGACCAACAGUGAAACCCAGCCGAUGACAAAAACACACAAGAAACUGUGCGACUGCUUGUUCAGCUCUAGAGUAUGGAGCCGCUGUCUCUGAGCUUCUGUCG
RNAcentral lists this long non-coding RNA (842 nucleotides) under Sinocyclocheilus grahami. Its description in RNAcentral is "lncRNA (ENSSGRG00000002074.1)". Lineage: Eukaryota; Metazoa; Chordata; Actinopteri; Cypriniformes; Cyprinidae. The record is from RNAcentral.